ACUGUCCGGAGCCGAUUGUGAAAUCAGCGAUCACCUGCCUCGACACAACGCAGAGACGAUGCAGAGGGAUGCUCAAGCUACGCCCACCGCUAUCGCAAGAGACGCGAAUGAAGAAACCUCCAAGAAACUAUAAAAGAGACUGAACAAGGGGAGUGGGGUGUGGGGCACUGCAGUGUGGGACACUGCAGGAGGGGCGGUUUGGAGACCCCUACCCACCCAGCGCUGUUUUGCUUGCUACUGCUUGCUGUAAUUAAUAAAAUUCUAAUUGACCUUAAAAAGGCUGAAUCAAAUUAUUCGCCUCAAUUUAUCACAAUUUGGUGCUGUGACUCGGAUAAAGGAAACCCGGGAGGGAGGCCCCACUAGGGUGAGGCGCCCCACCGCCUUUUUGCGGUGGACCUAAGGGGGGGCUUCCUCCUUGGGCCUUUACCGACGAACCUAAAACUCAGUAGCAAGCAAAGGUACCCCCGUUAAUCUUUGUGCACGAAGAACCGCGGAAGAGUGAACACGCAGGAAGCGGAGCUUUUCUUAGCUUCUUUUGCAGACACAGGCUAAGGAUGUUGGGGGAUGGCCGGAGCUGAUUGUGAAAUCAGCGACUACCGGGCGGCGGUCACCGGAGUGGACGGCGUGGGAGUGCUCCGGGUACGCCCAUCACUGUCCGGAGCCGAUUGUGAAAUCAGCGAUCACCUGCCUCGACACAACGCAGAGACGAUGCAGAGGGAUGCUCAAGCUACGCCCACCGCUAUCGCAAGAGACGCGAAUGAAGAAACCUCCAAGAAACUAUAAAAGAGACUGAACAAGGGGAGUGGGGUGUGGGGCACUGCAGUGUGGGACACUGCAGGAGGGGCGGUUUGGAGACCCCUACCCACCCAGCGCUGUUUUGCUUGCUACUGCUUGCUGUAAUUAAUAAAAUUCUAAUUGACCUUAAAAA
Vidua macroura (Pin-tailed whydah) is the source of this 928-nucleotide long non-coding RNA. RefSeq lists it as uncharacterized. The record is from RefSeq and is a predicted model, not a curated record. The transcript has 2 exons. Lineage: Eukaryota; Metazoa; Chordata; Aves; Passeriformes; Viduidae.